Cryptomeria japonica (Japanese cedar) is the source of this 515-nucleotide long non-coding RNA. RefSeq lists it as uncharacterized. Lineage: Eukaryota; Viridiplantae; Streptophyta; Pinopsida; Cupressales; Cupressaceae. The transcript is spliced from 3 exons. The record is from RefSeq and is a predicted model, not a curated record.
ACCUUUUCCCUCCUCCACUGUUAAUUUUCUCCCCUCAUAACCCACAAAUUCUUUGUGUAGGCACUAGUUUGCAGGGAUUCAGAGUCUCCCUUCAAACAGCUUAUCUAAAGCGACUUGACAUCCCAAAUCAUUGCUGCACGUCUUAAAGCAACUUGAUAUGCCAGUCACUGUAGCAAAAAAGUGAAAAUUAUCUUCAUUCAGAAUGGGUCCUCUUCUUCUCACAAAGUUCGUCCGUGAAUAUUUACUACGAGGAAUGACAAAAAGUGAUGCGAAAUUUCUGUUCUAUGAUUGAGGAAGUUGCUCAGAAAACUUAAGUGCGUAUGUCGAAGGAGCAUGCCAGCAGUUAGUAAGCCGCAGGAAUGCUUAUGCUAUUGAGAGGAAAACUCGAUGGAUAUUCUGAUGGUUGGGACAUCAUAGACCACAUCUCGUAUGCACGAUGGUUUGGAGUCUCAGUAUGUGAAAACUGCUGCUUGUUUUCUAACAGUAAAGGUGCAACAUCCUUGUUUGUUUCGCCA